CUACGGGCGGCAGCAGUGGGGAAUAUUGCACAAUGGAGGAGACUCUGAUGCAGCAACGCCGCGUGGAGGAUGACACUUUUCGGAGCGUAAACUCCUUUUAUAUAGGAAGAAGAUGACGGUACUAUAUGAAUAAGCGCCGGCUAACUCCGUGCCAGCAGCCGCGGUAAUACGGAGGGCGCAAGCGUUACUCGGAAUCACUGGGCGUAAAGAGCGUGUAGGCGGAUUAAAAAGUCAGAAGUGAAAUCCUAUAGCUUAACUAUAGAACUGCUUCUGAAACUUUUAAUCUAGAAUAUGGGAGAGGUAGAUGGAAUUACUGGUGUAGGGGUAAAAUCCGUAGAGAUCAGAAGGAAUACCGAUUGCGAAGGCGAUCUACUAGAACAUUAUUGACGCUGAGACGCGAAAGCGUGGGGAGCAAACAGGAUUAGAUACCCGAGUAGUC
RNAcentral lists this ribosomal RNA (439 nucleotides) under uncultured bacterium. RNAcentral's name for it is "partial 16S ribosomal RNA". It matches the Rfam family "Bacterial small subunit ribosomal RNA", at positions 339 to 795 of the family's 1533-position model. The record is from RNAcentral.